RNAcentral lists this ribosomal RNA (391 nucleotides) under uncultured bacterium. Its description in RNAcentral is "bacterial SSU rRNA". It matches the Rfam family "Bacterial small subunit ribosomal RNA", at positions 132 to 518 of the family's 1533-position model. The record is from RNAcentral.
GCCAGUAGGGAACAGCCCGGCGAAAGUCGGAUUAAUGCCCUAUGUUCCUCAAUGCGGACAUCUAAGUUGAAGGAAAGAUUCAUCGCUGGCAGAUGGGGAUGCGUCCGAUUAGCUUGCCGGCGGGGUAACGGCCCACCGGGGCGACGAUCGGUAGGGGUUCUGAGAGGAAGGUCCCCCACACUGGUACUGAGACACGGACCAGACUCCUACGGGAGGCAGCAGUGAGGAAUAUUGGUCAAUGGGCGUAAGCCUGAACCAGCCAAGUAGCGUGCAAGGGAUGACGGCCCUACGGGUUGUAAAACUGCUUUUAUGCGGGGAUAAAGUGCGGCACGUGUGCCGCUUUGCAGGUACCGCAUGAAUAAGGACCGGCUAAUUCCGUGCCAGCCGCAGC